Molecule: long non-coding RNA, 222 nt
Organism: Oenanthe melanoleuca
Lineage: Eukaryota; Metazoa; Chordata; Aves; Passeriformes; Muscicapidae
Exons: 3
Source: RefSeq, a predicted model, not a curated record
GGAGGGAGGGAGGAAGAGGCGGAGCCGCAGCAGAAGCAGGAGGGGACAAGGAAGGAUUCGAGCGCCAUCCCGGAGCUGCCUGAACUCGCAGCGCCCCCGGGACCAUCGCCCCCCAUCCCGCAGGAUUUCCCAUUGCCUAGCCUUGGCCCGCUGGAGGAGUAGGUUGCAAGAAAGAAGAAGAUAGCCCAGGAGCCCCAGACAGACAAGGAGCUGAGCACGGAG